This 265-nucleotide long non-coding RNA is filed under the name Parus major (Great Tit). Its description in RNAcentral is "lncRNA (ENSPMJG00000013750.1)". The record is from RNAcentral. Lineage: Eukaryota; Metazoa; Chordata; Aves; Passeriformes; Paridae.
AUGGAAUCUGGCAAAACAACAAAAAAAGAAGCAAAAGUACAUGCAUCUGUAGAAACUCCAAAGUCAAAAGCAGGACUUGAAAAAAAAGAAGGAAAAGCAACAAAGGCAGCAGUGCAAGAUAAAUCAAAGAUGAAACAAGGAAAUCCUGGAAAAGAGAAAGAAUUAAAAUCUCCAGCUGCCACAAAAGAUAAAGGUAACACAGCAGGACGAAUUUGUAUAUAGCUGUAAGAUCUAUAUGCAUUUUAAAAAAAAACAACAAACCUUG